This is a non-coding RNA of Caenorhabditis elegans, 362 nucleotides long. The record is from Ensembl. Lineage: Eukaryota; Metazoa; Nematoda; Chromadorea; Rhabditida; Rhabditidae.
CGGCCUCGGCAGUGCCUGGUAACCCGACGCGAACGCGUUUGAGGGAUAGCCCACACAGCCAGUCUCUCCCUCUCUCUCUCAAAUUUCUCCAUCUAUCUCUCUCUCUCUCUCGUUCACCAUAUCUCUCUCGCGGUUUUUUGCCCAUAUUCACCCCUUCUUCCCCUAACUCCACUCAUCUCUCCCUCCACUAGUCACUUGUUUUGCAAAAGUGGAGGACGAGAAAAGAGAAGUGGUGUGUGUUGGGGUGUCUGUGUUGGGGUGGGGUAGUUAUUGGGCCACCGAGAGAGGGAAAGAUGAUGAUGAGAACAUUCUCUCCAUCUCCACCUCUCUCUUUUCUUUCAUAGACCAUGGUAACGGACGGA